This is an RNA transcript of Oncorhynchus masou masou (cherry salmon), 3406 nucleotides long. It is a transcript of the gene named methyl-CpG binding domain protein 3b, with no coding region annotated. The record is from RefSeq and is a predicted model, not a curated record. Lineage: Eukaryota; Metazoa; Chordata; Actinopteri; Salmoniformes; Salmonidae. The transcript is spliced from 8 exons.
GGUUACGGCGGAGUGAUAUUCUGUAAGUCUUCGACAAAGAGCUGCGAUAACUCGGGAGGGAGAUCCCAUGAAUAGUGUUUGAGCCCUAUGUCACUAAUGGACGGAGUCAUUGUAUAAAACACGAAAUGUAACCCCAAAUAUAAACACGCUAGCAAAGAGAAUUACUGAACACUUCACAGGAGAACAUGGAGAAGAAAAGGUGGGCAUGCUUGGCUCUCCCCAAGGGCUGGCAGAUCGAAGAAGUGACCAGAAAGUCGGGUUUGUCUGCGGGAAAAAGAGAUGUCUAUUAUUUUAGUCCAACCGGGAAGAAGUUUCGGAGCAAGCCUCAGCUGGCUCGUUACCUUGGCAACCAGAUGGACCUCAGCUCCUUCGACUUCCGCACAGGGAAGAUGCUCAUGAGUAAACUGAACAAGAACAGGCAGAGGCUGCGCUAUGACAACAACAAUCAGACCAAGGGCAAGCCAGACCUGAACACAUCACUCCCCGUCAGACAGACUGCUUCCAUCUUUAAGCAACCUGUCACCAAGGUUACCAACCACCCCAGCAACAAAGUCAAGACAGAUCCACAGAAAGCCGUCGACCAGCCGAGACAGCUUUUCUGGGAGAAGAAGCUUGGUGGUCUCGAUGCCUUUGACAUCGCAGAGGAGCUAGUGAAGACAAUGGACCUGCCUAAAGGUCUUCAAGGAGUUGGACCUGGAUGUACAGACAAGACUCUACUGUCAGCGAUAGCCAGCGCCCUGCACACUAGUGCAGCCCCCAUCACCGGUCAGCUGUCUGCAGCCGUGGAGAAGAACCCAGGGGUGUGGCUCAACACAUCGCAGCCUCUGUGCAAGGCCUUCAUUGUCACUGACGAGGACAUCAGGAAGCAGGAGGAGCUGGUGUACAGUGUGAGGAAGAAGCUGGAGGAGGCUCUAAUGGCGGACAUGUUGGCUCAUGUGGAGGAAGCAGCCAGCGAGGGCGACUCACUCGAGGAGGACAACGACGACAUGGAGACUGUAUAGCAGAGUAUUCUCAUUUUGAUACCUACUCACCUGGAACAGACACCAUUUGGUUUAAAGGACCUUUAAGGGUGAUGGGGAGUUAAGAGUAGUUUGGAUGGGUCUUUCAACACCUUAUCACAGGACCAUGAAACCUGUACCAAUCCAACCAAAAGAACUGCCCAGUUUCCACCUACUACCCCUCUCUGAAGCUUUACCUACCCACUGCCCACCUCGCCCACUGGUUGGGCUCUUCUGGCUCCAGUGCUAAGAAAGGACUUGGACCAAGCCAUUCUGAAUCAAAUAAUUGAGCGAAUAAUCUUUCAUUUGAAAAGAGAUCAUCCAAUAACUUUUUGACAGUGCAGAGUGAGAGGAGAGCGAUUUACAUACAGUAUGACAGAUUCAGUGUUCAAUGAUGUAGUUUUAUUUUUUACAAAGACAUUGUAUGGAUUUUCUGAAUGUGAGAUGUAUGUUGUGACAAUCAUAUCAACCCCCCCCCCCCCCCCCACACACACACACACACAAAACAAACAAAAAACUACUUUUUAAAUGUACUUGGAGAUUUUCAAUUAGUAGCGAAUGCUGUUUUUCUUUCUGGGUUUCUAAUGCUCUCCGUGGGGCUCGAUGGACCAUAGUGUAGGGGUACUUUGGUUCAGUUUACAGGGCUAUGUGAGCGAGGCUUUGAUGAGAAGGAACAAUAUAUUUGCCCAAAUGAUGCACUCUAAAGCAUGAGUCACAGGACAGAGAAUUAGUGAAAAAUGAUUGUAUUGUGUUCUCAAGGAAAUAUUCUUGUCAUUGUAAUGUAGUCCAUUCAACCCCCUUACCAAGUAUUGACCAAAGAUGGUUCAUGUGAUUUUUGGGAAGUCUUGCAGUAUUCUACUGUAGUUAUUUUGUUAUAGCAUCAUAUCCAGCUUCUCAAUAGCUAGUGAUGUUUCCACAUGACACCGAGUUAUGAGUGUACAUGGUUAAAAUGGGUAGUAGAAGUGACACCAUACUGUACAUGGUUAAAAUGGGUAGUAGUAGUGACACCAUACUGUACAUGGUUAAAAUGGGUAGUAGAAGUGACACCAUACUGUACAUGGUUAAAAUGGGUAGUAGAAGUGACACCAUACUGUACAUGGUUAAAAUGGGUAGUAGAAGUGACACCAUACUGUACAUGGUUAAAAUGGGUAGUAGUGACACCAUACUGUACAUGGUUAAAAUGGGUAGUAGAAGUGACACCAUACUGUACAUGGUUAAAAUGGGUAGUAGUAGUGACACCAUACUGUACAUGGUUAAAAUGGGUAGUAGAUGUGACACCAUACUGUACAUGGUUAAAAUGGGUAGUAGUGACACCAUACUGUACAUGGUUAAAAUGGGUAGUAGAAGUGACACCAUACUGUACAUGGUUAAAAUGGGUAGUAGAAGUGACACCAUACUGUACAUGGUUAAAAUGGGUAGUAGUGACACCAUACUGUACAUGGUUAAAAUGGGUAGUAGAAGUGACACCAUACUGUACAUGGUUAAAAUGGGUAGUAGAAGUGACACCAUACUGUACAUGGUUAAAAUGGGUAGUAGAAGUGACACCAUACUGUACAUGGUUAAAAUGGGUAGUAGAAGUGACACCAUACUGUACAUGGUUAAAAUGGGUAGUAAGAAGUGACUUGGACCCUUCUCUCCUGCAUUGUGUAGAUUUUAUUCAUUUUAACACUCAUUGCUCACUGAAGUUGUUGGUUUAACGUUGCUGUUUCUAGCCAAAGCAUGUUUGUCCCCAUGGCCAUGCUUUUAAAAUGUUUCCAAUAAUGGGUCAAAGCCAUCACAACACUUGCUGCCUCCAUUAUCUUGUGCACUGGGUGCCAGACAGAGUAAACUAAGCAGAUUUUGUUUGACUAAAGAUUAAGGGCUGGACUCAAUCUGUAUCGUGGAAGAUUGGUGUUAAAUUUAAAGGUAAUUUUUUUGACAUUCCGUUGACAUAUGCAGCGUUUAAUGUGAAUGCAGUCUUUGAAAUGCCUUUUGGGGGUGGCAGGUAGCCUAGUGGUUAGAGCGUUGGGCCAGUAACAGAAAGGUUGCUGGAUCGAAUCCCCGAGCUGACAUGGUACAUAUCUGUUGUUCUGCCCCUGGACAAGACAGUGAGCCCACCUACCCCCAGUCGGCCUUCAUUGUAAAUUGAGAAUUUGUUAUUUACUGACUUGCCUAGUUAAAUAAAGAUUUGAUUUGUUUAAAAUUUGUAAGAAAAAAAAAUUGAGUUAUAGUGUGGAUUUUCCAUGAUGUAGAUUAAAUCCAGCCCAAAGAUUCCAUGUUGAGAAAAUGAAUUGCGCUUUGUACAUAUACCCACAUUUCUCAAAGUUUGUAUGUUUCAAUUGUCAAGCUCAAUGAGAUCCCUAUCCAACAUCAGCAGGCUGAACUGAAUUUUAUGUUACUGAGUAAAAUGUAUCGGUAUAUCAACAGAA